Pelobates cultripes (western spadefoot toad) is the source of this 211-nucleotide non-coding RNA. The record is from the annotation of a GenBank genome assembly. Lineage: Eukaryota; Metazoa; Chordata; Amphibia; Anura; Pelobatidae.
GGGAAAUUCUGCCCAUUCACCCAGUAGAGUAUUUGUGAGGUCAAGCACUCAUUUUGGACGAGAAGGCCUGGCUUGCAAUCUACUUUCCAGUUCAUCCCACAGAUAUCCGACUGGGUUGAGGUCAGGGCUCUGUGCCGGCCAGUAAAGUUCUUCCACACAAAACUCAUCCAACCAUGUAUUUGUGGACUUUGCUUUGUGCUCUGGGGCACAG